UCGAAGCCUAGAAAGCACGACCGCGCACAAGUUUAAAANNGAGGGCAAGCUUUGGAAGCCCCCGGGCCGCCCUUAGCCCCCUCGCUCGGCUGGCUGGGAGCCUUGUGCUCUCCGUCUUCCGAGACUAACGAACCCCGGCGCGGACAGCGCCAAGGAAUCUAAAACGAAAGAACUUGUCCCUUCGGCCCGACCUCGGGCUGCUGGGGGCAUGUCCGUUCAAAAAUAUCAUAACGACUCUCGGCAACGGAUAUCUCGGCUCUCGCAUCGAUGAAGAACGUAGCGAAAUGCGAUACUUGGUGUGAAUUGCAGAAUCCCGUGAAUCAUCGAGUCUUUGAACGCAAGUUGCGCCCGAAGCCUUUAGGCCGAGGGCACGUCUGCCUGGGCGUCUCGCACUGCGAUGCCCCCCAUACAAGUAUGGGGAGCGAAGCCUGGCCUCCCGUGAGCCCCAUCUCGCGGAUGGCUUAAAAACGAGCCUCGAGACGGUCAGACGUCGCGACAAGUGGUGGUUAAAAGGCUUCGGCCUUCGAUCUUUGCACGUCGCGAGUCCCCGCCUUCAAUGGCUCGAAAGUAACCCAAGCGGAGUGCGUCCAUCGUGCUGCCAGCAUC
This 606-nucleotide unclassified non-coding RNA is filed under the name Rosularia serrata. Its description in RNAcentral is "sequence contains ITS1, 5.8S rRNA gene and ITS2". The stretch from base 233 to 388 matches the Rfam family "5.8S ribosomal RNA". Lineage: Eukaryota; Viridiplantae; Streptophyta; Magnoliopsida; Saxifragales; Crassulaceae. The record is from RNAcentral.